Molecule: transfer RNA, 90 nt
Filed under: Ligilactobacillus saerimneri
Lineage: Bacteria; Bacillati; Bacillota; Bacilli; Lactobacillales; Lactobacillaceae
Also listed under: 2 other names
Description: tRNA-Ser
Rfam family: tRNA
About the family: Transfer RNA (tRNA) molecules are approximately 80 nucleotides in length. Their secondary structure includes four short double-helical elements and three loops (D, anti-codon, and T loops). Further hydrogen bonds mediate the characteristic L-shaped molecular structure. tRNAs have two regions of fundamental functional importance: the anti-codon, which is responsible for specific mRNA codon recognition, and the 3' end, to which the tRNAs corresponding amino acid is attached (by aminoacyl-tRNA synthetases). tRNAs cope with the degeneracy of the genetic code in two manners: having more than one tRNA (with a specific anti-codon) for a particular amino acid; and 'wobble' base-pairing, i.e. permitting non-standard base-pairing at the 3rd anti-codon position.
Source: RNAcentral
GGAGGAUUACCCAAGUCUGGCUGAAGGGAACGGUCUUGAAAACCGUCAGGCGGGUCAAACCGCGCGAGAGUUCGAAUCUCUCAUCCUCCU